Molecule: long non-coding RNA, 1228 nt
Organism: Gallus gallus (chicken)
Lineage: Eukaryota; Metazoa; Chordata; Aves; Galliformes; Phasianidae
Source: Ensembl
CCUGCCGCCCCUCGCGGGUGUUCUCCGGGCCCGGGGGUCGGGGCGGGCCCGGCGGCGGCGCAGCGCCGUGCUGAGGGCUGGGUGCUGCACGGCGGAUGGCGGCGGCCCCGGCCGGAGGCAAUAAAACACCGGGAAUGAUGCGGCAAAACGGGCCGGAGCUGCGUGGCGAAAUAAAUCAUCCCACGCGGAGGAGGCGGUUUUCUGCCCGGCCUUUCGCGUUGGCCCCCGACAAAGCCCCGGCGGGCAGCGAGGGCCGGGCUGGAUGCGGCCCUGCACGGCGCCCCCGGCCGCUGCCAUCAUCUCCUCCCACCUCCCUCGCCUUCACCUUGGAGCGAGCGGCUCGCCGAGCUGCCAGCGGUGAUAAAAUGGCUGUGCCCCGAAUUUAUGGGGCUUAUCUGGAGCCCUGGGGACAAGCAGGCACCGAGCAGCACCCGGGCUGGGGGAAGCACCGCGCCGGAGCCCUCCCUCCACGCUGCCGCAGUGACAUCCAUCACAAGUUUCCAAGCCUCAUCUAAUUUUGGAGGCCUUCAGCAAAUCCAGGCGCUGUCGCUGCCAAACGAGGCUGCCAAUGUUUCCCUCGGAAGACGGCUUUGCUCCGAAGGACCCUUCUGGAUGGUUUUGCUUUGAAUAGAAGGAUGGAACCGGGCGGCAUCGCUGUGGGAUGGCCCCGCUGCGGUGUGAGCCUUCCCUUUGUCGCCCUUCAGCCAUGAAAAGUGGGAGGUUCGGACCGUGUCCAGGGAAAAGAAUGGGACAGAGGGGCCGAGGGAAGCCAGAGGCGGUGAGGUCGGCGUGCCGGGAGGUGCGAGGGCUUGCAGAAACCCAACUGCUUCUGCAGUUACCCGGCGUCAGGAAAAUGAAGCUGAAGUGUGAAAAAAUGAAAGUGAAAAAGAUAGGAACCAACCCACGGCUAUUUAUUCUAAAAAUACUGACCUAAAUACUUAAGUGCACGUAUAAAAGUAGUUGUCUUUUCUUAUUCCCUUUAUGGACUCCCCUGCUUUGGUUCUUGUUUUGCUCAGAAAUCGGAGGGAUGGGCUCCUCGGGGGCACCCACCCCAUUCCUCCUGUGCUUUGCCGUGUGCCCCAAGCCCACCCAGAGCCCUGUAUGGGGCGGGGACACCCACAGGUGGCUGAUAAGGGAGCAGGGAGUGAUAUGGCCCCAGGGUGAGGAGCAUUUGGGCUGUGGCUCUGGCCUGGAGUUACCUGCCUGAGCGCUGGGUUGCAUAGGGAGG